RNAcentral lists this ribosomal RNA (440 nucleotides) under uncultured bacterium. RNAcentral's name for it is "partial 16S ribosomal RNA". It matches the Rfam family "Bacterial small subunit ribosomal RNA", at positions 338 to 795 of the family's 1533-position model. The record is from RNAcentral.
CCUACGGGUGGCAGCAGUGGGGGAUAUUGCACAAUGGGGGAAAGCCUGAUGCAGCGACGCCGCGUGUGGGAAGACGGUCCUCUGGAUUGUAAACCACUUUCCCCAGGGACGAAGAUGACGGUACUUGGGGAGGAAGCUCCGGCUAACUACGUGCAAGCAGCCGCGGUAAUACGUAGGGAGCGAGCGUUGUCCGGAUUUACGGGGUGUAAGGGGAGCGUAGGCGGGGAUGCAAGUUGGGGGUCAAAACUACGGGCUCAACUGGUAGUCGCACUCAAAACUGCAGCUCUUGAGUGAAGUAGAGGCAGGCGGAAUUCCUAGUGUAGCGGUGAAAUGCGUAGAUAUUAGGAGGAACACCAGUGGCGAAGGCGGCCUGCUGGGCUUUUACUGACGCUGAGGCUCGAAAGUGUGGGGAGCAAACAGGAUUAGAUACCCUUGUAGUC